Molecule: long non-coding RNA, 2958 nt
Organism: Pantherophis guttatus
Lineage: Eukaryota; Metazoa; Chordata; Lepidosauria; Squamata; Colubridae
Source: RefSeq, a predicted model, not a curated record
GCAUGCAUAGCCAUAUCGGUUGGCACAUGAGCUCAGCUCUGGCACACUUGCCAGCUGAUUUUCGGGCCUUCUGGGCCCACUGGAAGUCAGCAAACAGGCCAUUUCUGGCCUCCGGAGGGCCUCCAGGGAAGUGAGGAAGGCCAUUUUUGUCCUCCCCAGGCUCCUAGAAAGGCUCUGGAGCCUGGGGCGGGCGAAAAAUAGGCCUACCAGGCUCGCCGUGCCAUCACAUGCCAAAAGCGAGGGAAGCGCGGGGGGUGGGGGUCACGCAGACAUGCGUGGGGAUGGGACGCAUAGAAUUAUGGGUGUGGGCACAUGCACGCGCAAACCCCCCCUGCGCUUCCCCUUGCUUUUGGCACACAAUGGCAAAAAGGUUAGCCAUCACUGCUAUAGGCUCACCUGUGUCCCCCAUUGUAACCAAUCUCUGCAUGGAUGAAGUAGAAACCAAAGCCCUAGCCUUCUUCAUAGGAAUUUCACUCACUAACUGGUAUAAGUAUGUGGAUGAUACUUGGCUCAAGAUUAAAACACAGAAAGUGGAAGAUUUCACCAAACACAUCAACACAGGACAGGAAUAUUAAGUUCACAUGGAAAGAUGUUAAGUAAAAUAGUCUGGUUUUCCUGGACUGUGCAGUACACAUUAAAGAAGACAGAAGCCUCAACACUGAUGUAUACAGAAAACCCACACAGAGAUUAGUAUUUACAUUUUGAAUCUCACCACCUGCUGGGGCACAAACUGGGAAUGAUGAGAAUCCUAUACCACUGAGCUGAAGGUUUGCCUACCAGCAAAGAGGUGGAUGGGCAGGGGAGCGGGGGAUCAAGAAAGCUCUCAGAACUUGUGGAUGAAUCCUUCCAUUCCCCACUAUCCUGUCAGAGCUGAAGAAACUUCUUGGAUGAGAAGCGAAAUGUCUUCAAAAGGAAAAAGAAGAAAGUCAAGUUGCCUAUUGAAAAAAGCACCUUUGGGACAACCCUGACCUGGACUAAGAAUCUCUACAGACGUAUUUUGCUUAUAUUUUUAUAUUUUUCUGGAGUAAUUUACUUUUCUUUAAUGUUAGCAGAAUCUGAAAAUGCAGAGAAUUGAAGUAGCAGGAAACACUUAUGAUCUCCAGCAAUGCCUACCAUACAGCUUGCAGAAACCAGCUCUCCAUCUCACUUUCAGUUGACCUUCUAAAUCUAGAAUACAAAUAAGACUGCAUCUCACUUUCAGUUGACCUUUUAAAUCUAGAAUACAAAUAAAACUGCAAGAAUAUUUCCAACACUAAACAUAGCCUUAGUCUUUAGGCAAACAGGAAUCACUAAACUAUGCAAUGAAAGCAAAAUAGGCCUGCACUUCAUCUGAGUGCCACAGAUACCUACCAAGGAGCAAAGCCUGCUUUUCUGCAAAGCCCACCCAUCAAAUUCUGUCUCCAAGGACAAGAGUGAAAAUCCAGGAAAUUCCAUCAUUUUGUUCUAACUGUAUCACAGCUUUCCCUAAUCUCUCACCACUGGUGAAUAUAGCCAAGCAUUAUCAUUCUGGAUUCACAGAGAUUCAGUAGAAAUUAAGGAAGGACAUUUCUUGGCCAUCUUUGACUUGGUAAGCUCUGAUUCUGGGAUCUUUUGAAAUCACAUAGCCAUUCAACAAAGUCCCUUGCUCCUCCUAAAAGUUUUGCAACCCCCAGAAAUGUUUUAGAAAAAAUCCUUAAAUUCAAAGUAAGCUUAACUAGUCUGACUGAAGGAUUUCCCAUCCAAAACAACCAGAGGAAGCAGACAUUGUAGCUCAGGAUUUUUAUAGCAUGUAAGGAUUAAUACGAAUAGUGGAGAGGAAGAUAACUCAACAAGGUCUAAAUUGGAGAAUUAAAUCAUUUCCUUCCAGCUGCAUUAAUAGGCAUAUUCAUGCCAGCCAAUUCUACUCUAGGUCAGGAUUCAGACUUUGCUUGGUGUGUGAUUCCUGCAUUUCUGCUGCAGGAAGGCAGAAGAAAUAGAUCUAUCUAAUCCAAUGGAACUGCCUGAAGGCAUAAGAAUUCUGCUAUUCUCAGAAGCAGAUGGUAUCAUGAAAGGAAAAAUUUAUAUGAAUAUCAAGGUAUCUUUAUUCAUAAUUUACUUGCUUCCUUUUUUUUUCUUUUCACAGGAAAUGCCACCUAUGUGUGUUACCGUCGAGGCGGGGACUGUGUUCACUUUUACUGUCCUCCUGAAUGAAACCUUGGGACAUGGGGAUGUAAUGCGGGAUUGACAUGCUGUAGAAGAAUUUGAAAAUAACGAAAUCUCCAUCUACUGCCUUGGAUAUCUUCAAGAGCUGACUAAUGACUUGUCAUCACCAUUUCCCAUCAUGUUAUCUUUCUUUAUCUCAAUCCAAAUUGCUAUCUAUGCAUUGAAGAAGAAAAAAUAGCAAAUUUCCCUGAAAAUAUAGCUAAAUGAGCAUUGUAGUUGUUGUGUGAUGUGUGUGACUACAUGAAUAUUCCUAAUUUGUCUUUCAUAGUACUGCUUUUGAUAGCUUGGACUGUUUUAGGAAUACAAGUCAAAAUAGACAACAACAUGGUUGUUAGGAUAUGAUUUGAGCCUAACUAGUUGUCCAGGUAUUAUGAGUGUACUGUAACUUUAAUAUGAAAAUGUAUUAUGUUACUUUAAAGGUAUUCAUUGUAAUGCUGAGUCAUGCUGUAAUCAGGUAAUGACUGGUUGUGAGAGUAUUUAAGCAAGGUAUUGUAACGUAUUCAGUUUGAUGAUGAAGCUGCUAUGAUAUGCUGCCAUUGUGUAUGGAGCUGAUAUGAUAAGCUACCAUUGAGAGGAGUUGUUAUCUGCUAAUCAUCGUUUGAUGGAUCUGCUACCAUCGUGGUUUGUGAACCAGAGUGAGUUUGUUAUUCUAACCAACUAAUGUUUGUUUGGUAAGAAGAUUUCUGUAACUACUGGACUGAUUUAACUGGCAAAGACUUGGAAUUUGUUUAAAGACUAUGAGACUGUUUUUCUACUAUAAAGUAAGAUUUUGAUAAA